UCCGGUUUGUCACCGACAGUCUCCUUAGAGUGCCCAACUGAAUGCUGGCAACUAAGAACAAGGGUUGCGCUCGUUGCGGGACUUAACCCAACAUUUCACAACACGAGCUGACGACAGCCAUGCAGCAUCUGUGCGCGCUCCCUUGCGGGUCAUCCCUGUUUCCAGGUCUUACCACGCGCAUGUCAAGCCCAGGUAAGGUUCUUCGCGUUGCGUCGAAUUAAACCACACGCUCCGCUGCUUGUGCGGGCCCCCGUCAAUUCCUUUGAGUUUUAGCCUUGCGGCCGUAGUCCCCAGGCGGAGCGCUUAAUGCGUUAGCUACGGCACGGAUCCCGUGGAAGGAAACCCACACCUAGCGCCCACCGUUUACGGCGUGGACUAC
RNAcentral lists this unclassified non-coding RNA (379 nucleotides) under uncultured bacterium. Its description in RNAcentral is "contains 16S-23S intergenic spacer region". The record is from RNAcentral.